RNAcentral lists this long non-coding RNA (1099 nucleotides) under Nicotiana benthamiana. RNAcentral's name for it is "long non-coding RNA (NBEN_LNC036639)". Lineage: Eukaryota; Viridiplantae; Streptophyta; Magnoliopsida; Solanales; Solanaceae. The record is from RNAcentral.
CAAGAGUGAGUCACUUAAUGGGCAUCCUAUGGUUAAGAAAGUGCACAACUGGAGAGAAGUGGAGCAUCAGUUAGUUUCAUGGAUAGUUCCCAGGAAUUCCUCUCCAAAUUAGACUCAAAAUUAAUUAAAAAAAAUGUAUGAUUUGUAUUCUAUUUGACUUCAUAUAUUAAACCAAUCGUAAACCUGCUUGAAGGCGACCAUAAAGUGAAGCCUCAGCUAUUAGAAGUUGGUAAUCAGUAGAAUAAUCAUAUCAUCUUUUAUUUUUUGUUCCAUUUGCCUUUCUACUCUGCACAGAUAUAAAAUCAGUGUGUUAGUAGUAAAACUUCUUUUUAUAGGUUAAAGCUGACAGUCUCAUUAUACUUGCAACCCAUAAAGGUACACAAUAUUACACCAAUUCAUUUCCUGGUUGACGUAUGUGCUUCUGUUUUUGUUGUGAUUGAAUUGUUAGAAAAAUGUACAAAAGCACGUUGUAGAGAUAAAUUGAGAAAUUUAAGCUAAAUUGUUUCAAAAAUAGAAAGGUCACUUUCUUUUUGAAACUAAUUAAUAAAGAAAUAAUACCACAUAGAAUGAAAUAGAGAUAGUACUAAACUAUGAAGGAAAUGUAUUAUAAAAGAAAUUCUUAUAUAAUAUACAGGACAGAGUUAGAGUUAUGUACAUUAAUGAAAUUGAUUUCGCCUGCUGAUUUACUAGGAGGCAAUUUGACACCCUUCAGAAAAAAAGAAUUUAUUUUGAUGUCAAGUUGGUCAUACUGCAACCACGUUGUAAAGACCAAUCGUCUGUAAACAUUAUUCGAUCUUCUCCAGCAACUUGAAUCCAUAUGCCUCCAAAAUAUCCAGUGCUGCAAAUUUACAUAAAAUGAGCUAUUAUGUCACUAACUGUUUCUUUUCCAACAAAACCAGCGCUGACAAAUGAUAUAAACAGAGACAAUUUAUCAGCUAUAUGCUAUGGUAACUGCUGAUAUAACACAAGUAGACUGAUUCCAACUAAAGCAUAUCUGGAGUUCAUUUGUUUGCUUAUUUUACAAGCAAGCGACUGUUCUAAUAUUUUGCUGAAAGGGAAGGAUUGUUUUUCUCUCUCUUUUUUGAGGGUGGGGGUUGNN